UACGGGAGGCAGCAGUGGGGAAUAUUGCACAAUGGGCGCAAGCCUGAUGCAGCCAUGCCGCGUGUAUGAAGAAGGCCUUCGGGUUGUAAAGUACUUUCAGUCGUGAGGAAGGUGUUAAGGUUAAUAACCUUAGCAAUUGACGUUAGCGACAGAAGAAGCACCGGCUAACUCCGUGCCAGCAGCCGCGGUAAUACGGAGGGUGCGAGCGUUAAUCGGAAUUACUGGGCGUAAAGGGCACGCAGGCGGUUAAUUAAGUUGGAUGUGAAAUCCCCGGGCUUAACCUGGGAAUGGCAUUCAAGACUGGUUAGCUAGAGUCUUGUAGAGGGGGUAGAAUUCCAUGUGUAGCGGUGAAAUGCGUAGAGAUGUGGAGGAAUACCGGGUGGCGAAGGCGGCCCCUGGGACAAAGGCUGACGCUCAUGUGCGAAAGCGUGGGGAGCGAAACAGGAUUAGAUACC
RNAcentral lists this ribosomal RNA (455 nucleotides) under uncultured bacterium. RNAcentral's name for it is "bacterial SSU rRNA". It matches the Rfam family "Bacterial small subunit ribosomal RNA", at positions 340 to 786 of the family's 1533-position model. The record is from RNAcentral.